GGAGAGUCUGACCGAGCACGCCGCGUGAGUGAAGAAGGUUUUCGGAUCGUAAAGCUCUGUUGUAAGUCAAGAACGUGUGUGAGAGUGGAAAGUUCACACAGUGACGGUAGCUUACCAGAAAGGGACGGCUAACUACGUGCCAGCAGCCGCGGUAAUACGUAGGUCCCGAGCGUUGUCCGGAUUUAUUGGGCGUAAAGGGAGCGCAGGCGGUCAGGAAAGUCUGGAGUAAAAGGCUAUGGCUCAACCAUAGUGUGCUCUGGAAACUGUCUGACUUGAGUGCAGAAGGGGAGAGUGGAAUUCCAUGUGUAGCGGUGAAAUGCGUAGAUAUAUGGAGGAACACCAGUGGCGAAAGCGGCUCUCUGGUCUGUCACUGACGCUGAGGCUCGAAAGCGUGGGUAGCGAACAGGAUUAGAUACC
Molecule: ribosomal RNA, 417 nt
Filed under: Streptococcus mutans
Lineage: Bacteria; Bacillati; Bacillota; Bacilli; Lactobacillales; Streptococcaceae
Description: bacterial SSU rRNA
Rfam family: Bacterial small subunit ribosomal RNA
Source: RNAcentral